RNAcentral lists this long non-coding RNA (1137 nucleotides) under Callithrix jacchus (white-tufted-ear marmoset). Its description in RNAcentral is "lncRNA (ENSCJAG00000073523.1)". The record is from RNAcentral. Lineage: Eukaryota; Metazoa; Chordata; Mammalia; Primates; Cebidae.
CAGGACUUGAAGUGUACCCACAUGCACAAAUGAUACUGAUUCAAUGCUGGGUGCCAGUGGCUCACACCUGUAAUCCCAGCACUUUGGGAUGCUGAAGCAGGUAGACCACUUGGGGUUAGGGGUUCGAGACCAGCCUGGCCAACAUGGCGAAACCCCAGUUCUAUGAAAAUUACAAAAAUUAGCCUGAGAUGGUAGCACAUGUCUAUAGUCCCAGCUACUCAAGAGGCUGAGGCAGGAGAAUGACUUGAACCCAGGAAGCGGAGGUUGCAGUGAGCUGCUGAGAUGGCGCCAUUGUACUGUAGCCUGGGUGACAGAGCAAGACUCCAUCUCAGAUAAAAAAAAAAAAAAAAAAGAAAUGGUAGAUACCAGAGAUGAUGGACACCCCAAAUACCAUGACAUGAUCAUUGCACAUACUAUGCAUGCAGCAGAAUAUCCCGUGCACCCAUGAAAAUGUAUAGCUUUUACCUAUCAAGUAAAAUAGCCUUUCCACUGGGCAUGGUGGCUCACGCCUAUAAUCCCAGCACUUUGGGAGACCAAGGUGGGAAGAUUGGCAGAGCACACGUCCCCAGGGGCCUGGAGUAUGCGGCUUUGGGCAGACCCACAGGGCCUGUCUGUUAGACACAGACCACAGCCGCUUCCAGCAUGGAGCAACACCAAGAGACAGAUGGGGCUGGGACCACCUGGGCAUAUGUCCGCAUGUAGGGUCAGAGGCUCCAGCUCCAUGCCAGCCCAAAGCCUGGACUAGGACAGACCCCAGGACAAAAGCCCCAGAGGAACCCAGAAGAAGCUGGAUGGUUAGGAACAAGCUGGCCACAACCCACAUCACAUUCAGCCCUAGAGCCACAUGCAGCAUCGGGUAUGGAGUGGGAGCUGAUCAAUACCUGCAGGACUGGAAAUUUCAAUUAAUGUAAACAGAAGAAUAAGCUCACUCUGUUUGACAGGUCAGGAAGCCAAGGAACUUGCCCAGUCAUCCAGCAAGGACGUGGGGACACUGGGGUCUGAGCCGGGACUUUCUCUCUGAGCCCAGCCCAUGGCCCCCACCCAUCAUGAGCCCCCAAGUGUUACGUUGGCUCUAGCAGGGCUCCUGGCUGGUCUGGCAGGCCACCAAGACCCUGAGGCUGUGAGAAGGUAUCUGGC